AAGUAUUGCAAUUUUAGAUUUGAAAAACUUAACUUCACAAUUCAGCAAUACGUGGUGUGAUUUCUACCAAAAGGGUCCAUGACCCGGAUGCAAACCAAUUCCCAAAUCAGCUCUGUCGAAACCCUAGGAUGUUGUAAUCCUCGCCAUUUAUAUCCCAUUCGGGUUGGUUACAUUCCUUAGACCCAAAUGUAUUGCUCUUUCAAUUUCAGCUUCGAUUUCUAUCUAGGUAUUGCAAUUUUAGGGGUAAAUAAAUUUUUUUUUUGUAGGAAUCAAGAAUGUGGAAAAGAUCCCAUUAUAUAAUUUUGGAAAUCCUUUAUUGCAAUUUUCUACAUUGUAUAGAGACAGGCACAAAACAUUCUGCAAUAGCAAACUUACAUGGCCCUUCUCUUCAGUAAACAAUCAUUUUCUUUCUUUUGUUUCAUCUCAGUUUUGUAUUAUUAAACUUUCACAUUUUUGUCUAUGUAGUUGUUUGGUUACUUAAUAGUGCUUAUAUUUGGUGCACAGGGUGUAAAGCUGAAAAGGCAAAGGGACACAAUACAGUUUGUAAUUUCAAAGAAGAUAAAAUGGACAUGAAAAAGCAAAUAUAGAUGCGAGCGGAGCCCUCUACAACAGAUGAUACAAGGAGAAAAUUAAUGCAGAUUAUUGCAGCAGAUAAGAUUCCACUGUUAUCUUCUGACUGAUACUUUUUUAUUUCUUGUUUCAUGACAUUUCUUAUCUUCCUACGUAUUUCAUUUGAUAACAAUUAGUAUUUCUUUUUCAUGGCAUUUAUUCAAAUAAAGAGAUAAUUGAUGUUUCUUGAUAUACUCUAAGAUCUGAUUAGAUGCUCAUUUGGCCUUUUAUCUGGCUAUUCCUUUGGUGAACAAAUAAGAAUCAUUAAAUAGACUAGUGUGUUUUUUUAUAAAGGAGAUAGACUAGCGUCAAUGUACAAGGAGAUUACGUAGGCGAAUAUGGACUUUCAGUUUCCUGGUUGGGCACUACGCAAAAUGGGAGGUAAAUAGAAUUAAAAAUAGGGUAUCUGAUCCAGUCCUGUCUAGAAAAUUGUUGGCCAGAUCAGGAAGUAUAAUCUCACAUAAAAUUCUGGAUAACUAAUUUACUAUUGCUAAUUUAGUUUCCGCAUAACUAGUACAACAUUUGGUCCCCAGUGUAAAAAUAUGCAUUGCAAGUACAUCUUCUGUUGUGGUACUAAAAUAUGUAUAGCUAAUACCAACAUAAUUUAUGCGUGAAUUGAUGUAUUAUCUUGUGCGGGAUAGGAUAUGGAAAAAUAAUAAUGUAUUAGUGAUAUUUGGAUAAGAGUAUCUAGAAGCAUAAACAAUGCUUAUCCCUUCAUAACAAUUAUUCACCUCAUAACAAUCUCGACAUUGUCAUUCACCGCAUGAAAAUCCUUUAUCAUGAUCCCUGCAUAAAUUAGUCUGUGAACCAAAUGACCUCUCAAGGUAUGAAUUGUGUAUGCCUAUUUCCUAUACGAAGACCUUGAAGACAUGCAACAAGUGGCAGUAAAGGUGACAUGUUUCUUGGACGGAUGUCUCUCCAACUCUUUUAAACCAAGUAAUAUCAUAUUUAUAUUAGGAACUAUUCUUUUCAUGAGAAUUGCUAUGUAUGCCAAAAAUGUGGUGGUCGGACUUUGUUAUGGUCUUAUCUAUCUUUCUCACAAACCAAGUGCAAUGACGGCUUACUCUUUGAGGAGAUAUCGGCAUAUCGCAGUGUCAACCAGGUUGUACUCUUUGCUUGUUCUCUUGUCUGAGCCUAUUGUUUGUGAUUUUUUUACCCUUCAUAGGUGGUAUUAUUUGCUAUAGGGUGUAAAUAGGUAAUCUAUUGAUCUAUUUUCUUGUGAAUUUGUACUCCUGAUGUUAAGCCAAAUUUACGAUACUGGUAGCUGGUAGUUUCCAUUCAUUACAUUUGAAAUCCUUAAUGACCGUCGACUUAGCUUGUAGAGUCACAUUAAUUAGGCACUCGUAUGAUAGUUAAAAGUAUAUUAAUUCAGCCACAAUCAAUCUAGGAGGCUGCUAUCAUCUGUCACUCUUAAACAAGAAUAGAGAGAAUCACCUUUCUAGAGAUCACAUGCUUUAUAUCGUGAUUUUGGUGUCAAAAGUAGUAUUGGAAAGAUGUAGUUUUAGAUGUAGAAAUAAAUGGUAGCUUAAUAAUUCAGCAAUGUACGUGCAGUUGUAAAGAUGGAAGAUAUGACCGUAUCUGCAUGCUACUUUGUCCCACAUCGUCUCAAAAGCAAGAAUUAAUUCCUUCGUUAUACCUAUUUAGCGGUCUCUAAUUAUGAACUUUUACACAUAGCUUGUGCGGGCCCUUGAUGGCUCACAUCACCUUGUAGUAAGGUCCCUUCCAAGAGUUGCAGUAUGCUGGAAAUCUUGUCCGUGAAUUUGCUGGCACCUAUGGAUUCAGGAGGUAGCUCACAUUCACAACUGAGCAUUUGCACAUGAAGCACCAGCUGACAGCUAACAUAUGUAAUUCUGCGCUUUCUCAUUUUCCCGGCUGUCAGCACCGCACCCGAGUUUCAAGCACCAAUCUGAUAAACAGACCUUUCUUGGAGAUUGAAGCAAGAUAAAAUUUGGCUACUGGCGCAGAAUGAAGUAAACACCAAGCUGAAAAACACACCUUUCUAAAUGUAGAAUGCUGCACCAGAUUGUUAAGGUGUACUGUUAAAAAAUUGUUAUGGUCAUGUUCUUUUUUGUUUGGUAACUCAUUUUCUUUUCUUGUUUGGAGAUUGAAGCAAGACAAUAAUUGGCUAAUGGCGCAGUAUGCGUGCAUAUUAUAUACUUCUUUUGCUGAUUUGGCAUAUCUAUUGAAGUUUUCUUAUGGAUGGA
Molecule: non-coding RNA, 2813 nt
Organism: Nicotiana tabacum (common tobacco)
Lineage: Eukaryota; Viridiplantae; Streptophyta; Magnoliopsida; Solanales; Solanaceae
Source: RefSeq, a predicted model, not a curated record